ACUCUAAUGAGACUGCCGGUGACAAACCGGAGGAAGGUGGGGAUGACGUCAAGUCCUCAUGGCCCUUAUGGGUAGGGCUUCACACGUCAUACAAUGGUACAUACAGAGGGCUGCCAAACCGCGAGGUGGAGCAAAUCCCAGAAAGUGUAUCGUAGUCCGGAUUGGAGUCUGCAACUCGACUCCAUGAAGUUGGAAUCGCUAGUAAUCGCGGAUCAGCAUGCCGCGGUGAAUACGUUCCCGGGUCUU
RNAcentral lists this ribosomal RNA (246 nucleotides) under uncultured Undibacterium sp. RNAcentral describes it as "partial 16S ribosomal RNA". It matches the Rfam family "Bacterial small subunit ribosomal RNA", at positions 1137 to 1382 of the family's 1533-position model. Lineage: Bacteria; Pseudomonadati; Pseudomonadota; Betaproteobacteria; Burkholderiales; Oxalobacteraceae. The record is from RNAcentral.